AACGAACGCUGGCGGCAGGCCUAACACAUGCAAGUCGAACGCUCCGCAAGGAGAGUGGCAGACGGGUGAGUAACACGUGGGAAUCUUCCUAUCGGUACGGAAUAGCUCAGGGAAACUUGAGGUAAUACCGCAUACGCCUCGGGAAGGAUUCAUCGCCGAUAGAUGAGCCCGCGUCUGAUUAGCUAGUUGGUGGGUAAGUGGCCUACCAAGGCGACGAUCAGUAGCUGGUCUGAGAGGAUGACCAGCCACACUGGGACUGAGACACGGCCCAGACUCCUACGGGAGGCAGCAGUGGGGAAUAUUGGACAAUGGGCGCAAGCCUGAUCCAGCCAUGCCGCGUGAGUGACGAAGGUCUUCGGUAUCGUAAAGACUCUUUGUCCAGGGACGAUAAU
RNAcentral lists this ribosomal RNA (392 nucleotides) under uncultured bacterium. RNAcentral describes it as "bacterial SSU rRNA". It matches the Rfam family "Bacterial small subunit ribosomal RNA", at positions 29 to 452 of the family's 1533-position model. The record is from RNAcentral.